UACCAGCUCUCCGAGUGGUGUGGAUGUUUAUUGGGCCUAAAGCAUCCGUAGCUGGCUGGACAAGUCCCCUGUUAAAUCCACCGAUUUAAUCGUUGGAGUGCGGGGGAUACUGUUCGGCUAGGGGACGGGAGAGGCAGACGGUAUUUUCGGGGUAGGGGUGAAAUCCUAUAAUCCCGGGAAGACCACCAGUGGCGAAGGCUGUCUGCUAGAACGCGCCCGACGGUGAGGGAUGAAAGCUGGGGGAGCGAACCGGAUUAGAUACCCGGGUAGUCCCAGCUGUAAACGAUGCAGACUAGGUGUUUGGGCGGCCACGUGCCGCUCUAGUGCCGCAGGGAAGCCGUUAAGCCUGCCGCCUGGGGAGUACGGCCGCAAGGCUGAAACUUAAAGGAAUUGGCGGGGAGCACCACAAGGGGUGAAGCUUGCGGUUU
RNAcentral lists this ribosomal RNA (428 nucleotides) under uncultured archaeon. Its description in RNAcentral is "bacterial SSU rRNA". It matches the Rfam family "Archaeal small subunit ribosomal RNA", at positions 474 to 903 of the family's 1478-position model. The record is from RNAcentral.